RNAcentral lists this ribosomal RNA (460 nucleotides) under uncultured bacterium. RNAcentral describes it as "partial 16S ribosomal RNA". It matches the Rfam family "Bacterial small subunit ribosomal RNA", at positions 338 to 795 of the family's 1533-position model. The record is from RNAcentral.
CCUACGGGAGGCAGCAGUGAGGAAUAUUGGUCAAUGGACGCAAGUCUGAACCAGCCAAGCCGCGUGAAGGAAGACGGCUCUAUGGGUUGUAAACUGCUUUUAUAGGGGAGUAAAGGCUGCGACGUGUGUUGUUUUGUAAGUACCUUACGAAUAAGGAUCGGCUAACUCCGUGCCAGCAGCCGCGGUAAUACGGAGGAUUCAAGCGUUAUCCGGAUUUAUUGGGUUUAAAGGGAGCGUAGGCGGUCGGAUAAGUCAGUUGUGAAAGCUCGCGGCUCAACCGCGGAAUUGCAUUUGAAACUGGUAGGCUUGAGUACAGUAGAGGUCGGCGGAAUUCGUGGUGUAGCGGUGAAAUGCUUAGAUAUAAUGAAGAACACCGAUUGCGAAGGCAGCUGACUGGACUGCAACUGACGGUGAGGCACGAAAGCGUGGGGAGCAAACAGGAUUAGAUACCCGAGUAGUC